GAGAAGCAGCAACAACAGCAACACUGUUAAUUGUCUGGGGCGCAAAUGCAAAAGAGGAAAACAGGUAAAUGCAGAAUUUAACAACAACAAAAACGUUAAUUUUUAACCAAAUGUGGUCAUUAAUUGUGGCCAGAAAGCAGUGGUAGAGGCCCUGCAGGGUUAAUGCCAUGGGCACGUGACAAAGAACUCAACCCCUCCUCAGACAUCGGCAGCUUAUGUAACCCCACACAUAACCCCCUGAAAAAUACUUAAACAAGUCGUAGCACACUCUCUCUUUAAGCCUUCUAUUUCUGGCUAUCCAAAAAGCUUUCGCUUCCGCAAACUCCAACACUUGCGAUGACCCAAGACGAGCUAAUUUUUAUCGCUCUGUGACACACGAAGUACAAUGAAGAACAGCCCAAACAACACACGUAACCCGAAGAGACUUGAAGCGUUGUUCGACUCUAAAUGGACUGCAGUUUGGCCCUGUACAGGGGAAAGUUCCCUCUAAGCAUUAAGCUUGGAAAGAAGCACGUACUUGAGUUCUCUCUGGGAUGGGAUUGGGAUUGAAUUGGGUUGGGUGUCGUGUCUGCUCCUCCUUGGUCACAGUUCCACUUUUGUUAUCUGUGAAAUAUUUGGCACAAGAGCUGCGAUAUAUGAUAUCGUUUGCACGGAUUUGGGAUACGACAGAUAAGCGACAUUCAGCGACUCUUCCUCCGAUUGCUAAACAAAAGAAUGAAAUGGCUGAGGAUGGAAUCUGGGGCUCAGCUGAUAAGCAGGGCACCAAAUUCAAUUUGCCAUCCAUUGAUGGGCAGCGAUAAGAACUCAGAAGAGGGGAGAGAACUACCAGAACAGGGGACUUAAUGCCAACGAUUGCUCUGUCAUUAUGACUUAAGAGUAAGAACAGACCAUAAAGUGUGCUCUCCCUUUGGUUCAUUGCUGAGUGGGGCAGUGGUGCCAUCAGCCAUCAGCCAUCCGCCAGCCAAGAGUACGAGAGGAUGGACAGAGACCGAAAGAGAUUCAGUGACAUAAUAAAUAAAUUUAAUCAGUUGGCUGCGUAAAACGCUUCCGUUGUUGUCUCUCCACUGCUGAGGAGGAAACCGAAUCGGAUUCUAAAUCAGCUUUAAGUUCUGGCCCGCCUUCAGCGCGUGGUCCCUCCAGGGGAAUGCCCCUGCUCCAGCUCGGAGUUAUCUUGGUGACUUGUGCUUUCGAUUCUGACUGUUGGUUUACUUUGAGAUUCCAUCGUCUCUGACUGUUUGUGCUUCUUACAGAUGAUUGUUGCUGCAUCUGCAAGAGCUGCCGCUGUCAUCAGUUCAUAUUUUGAGUGUUUAGUAGCGUUUAUUUCUUUCAAUUCCUCCUGUUUUACGACCCACCGUACCUCCACAUUCUCUGUGGGGUUAUCUCAGCCAGACUCCCCAUAUCUGUGCUUCUGCUUAUUGUGUCUAUUGAAGCUCUGACGGCGGUUCACAUUGCGUAUGCGUAAUCGAGGAAGAAGACUAUGACUGUGUCUGGGUCUGGGUAUGGGGUUCAAAGGGCAAUUGUGGUGUGACACCGAGCAGAGUGUUCAUAGCCAGCAGCUAACAUACUUUUCCAAUUAUUUGACGCACUCUCACACAUAUUCCCCACGACUUUGCCGACGUUUUUAUUAACACAUUUCAUUUGAUGGCUGGCAAACGCGUUGUCGCUGGGGUUUUCCAUGAUCUUUCCCCUUUGUAAAAUGUAGCUUCCUCUGUGUUGAUUGUUUGCUUUUCUGUUUGUUGGUGGGAGGGGUUUAAUCCUUAAUUAAAAGCAUGAUAAUAUUUAAAGGCCCAACAUAAGCGCUCGCACAUCCCCCGCAAGAGAAAAGUGAAAUUUAAUGGGGAAAUGUAUUUAAUUGAAAUUUAAAUGCCCGUGGAAUAUCCCUUUGCUGCCGCCUCCUGAACCUGUCAGCAAUUGCACAACUGUGCGGCUUUAAUUAUUUACAACUCCACGUUGGUUUACCAUAUGUUGUCUGUGGGCAAAUAAUUAGCAAACGGCAAAACCAUUUAAAUUUAAGUCAGAAUAUAAACUUGAAAUUGUGUAAUUAUAUGCUCUGCAUGUGUGCGUAUGUGUGUGGCAGGUGAAUUUGCAUAGUAAUUGCCACUGAAAUACACGUAAGUAAUUGUUCCGUUUGCUGGAAAUGAGGCAACAUUUUGUUUGUUUUUUGAUUGAUUUGUCGGAGAUUGAGAUUGUCGCUUCCAGUCAGGGAAAAAAUGCGCAGAUAAUUGAAUUUAAUAUUCGGUUUUUAAAUUUUAAUAUGAAAUAUAUUCAAUUUAAAUAUAUUUUAUUUACUAUACUUAAAUCAAACAUUCUUAUAUUAAAAUCAAAACGCAGUGCUUAUUUAUGUAAAAACAUAUAUGCAAAUAUAAAUUUAAUGUAUUCAAUUUUCUUAUUUGAGGGAAUGAGUAGAAUGGUUCAGGUGUGGGAAAUUCAAUUAAAUUUGUUUACAAAUUCUGUAAUGUUCUGUUUUGAGGGUAAAGGAAGGAAUAAAAUAUUCUAAUAUAUUUUCUUUGGUUUUACACGUGUAUGCAGAUGAUUUAAGUUUGUUGGAAAUAAAUUUCAACCCUCUGCAAAACCCGUUUUCAGUCUUAUUAAUUAGCUUUAUAAAUUUAAUAGGCUUUAUAAAAGUAAACAGCAUUUUUUACACGAUAAACGAGUAUAGCCGUAAUUUUUAUAAUUAAUAUCUAAAUCAAUAACACAUCAUCCAAGUUUAUAAAUAUAUUUUUAGACGUUUACCCAUCCCAAAGCGAAUCAAUUCCCCGACAACCUUGACCCAUUUCCUGUUUGAUCUGAGCUGACGUCAUCAUUUAGUUUGAGAGACAGAGAGAGAGAAGGGAGAGAGAGAAACUCCCGGAAACACUAUUACUUUCACUGAAUUCAAUUCACAACAAUUUAUGCUUAAACGUUGUACAAUAAAAAAGGAGGAACAAGUCCAAGGUUUGAGACAUAAAUUAGCAUUUAUUUCUCCGAUAUUCAGGCCCAGAAUUCAGAGUUCUGUGUUAAUUGCUGAAAACGAAUCUUAAGACGAAACCCGUUCUACAUAACUUGACAAAAAUGAAAACAGUUUCGGUUUCCGCAUCAUGAAUAUAAUUAUAUUUCAAAAACCAUGUUUUUGGGGAAAUAAAAUCAGAAUUGCAUGAGCUGGAAGCUCGUGGGGGGAGAGUCCGAAUCGGAGUCAGAACCACUACUGGAGUCCCUGCCAUUAAAGUCGAUGCCUCUGCCAUUGCCAAUGUUUUCAAAUGCUGCAAGGCGCUGCAGGAUCGCAUCGGUGUCGGCACUGUGCACACUUUCGCUCCAUUUCAAGUUCUCAUCGCUGUCACCUAGGCCUCGUCGUUCUCCGAUGUGCUGAUAUGUGUCCGGUGCAGCGAUCACCGAAUAGAUUGCCACACAGAGCAUCAGCAGUCCCAGAAUCGAUUGCAUUUUCCGCUCUUAGCUCAGGCAACACUUGACUGAAUGUCAGUGGUCAGCCACAGAGCUGGGCUUUUAUAGCCUUGUCUCUGGGCUAUCAGCAAAGCUCAAUGAUUGACAUUACAUGUACA
This 3536-nucleotide long non-coding RNA is filed under the name Drosophila guanche. The record is from RNAcentral. Lineage: Eukaryota; Metazoa; Arthropoda; Insecta; Diptera; Drosophilidae.